Molecule: transfer RNA, 78 nt
Filed under: Saprospiraceae bacterium
Lineage: Bacteria; Pseudomonadati; Bacteroidota; Saprospiria; Saprospirales; Saprospiraceae
Description: tRNA-Met
Rfam family: tRNA
About the family: Transfer RNA (tRNA) molecules are approximately 80 nucleotides in length. Their secondary structure includes four short double-helical elements and three loops (D, anti-codon, and T loops).
Source: RNAcentral
UGCGGAGUAGUUUAAAAAUGACAAAAUGGCGGGCUCAUAUCCCGAAGACUACAGGUUCGAGUCCUGCGUCCGCGACCA